Molecule: long non-coding RNA, 603 nt
Filed under: Chinchilla lanigera (long-tailed chinchilla)
Lineage: Eukaryota; Metazoa; Chordata; Mammalia; Rodentia; Chinchillidae
Description: lncRNA (ENSCLAG00000024922.1)
Source: RNAcentral
GCUGCAGGUCCCCGGGCGCGGCCCGUUCCCCGCGCGGCUCGAGGCCCAGGGGCGGCGUGGCCCGGCCCGCACUCCGAGUCCGUGCUGUGGGAGCUCUUGGCCUGUGGGUGGACGGAAACCAAGAGACGCGACUUUGCCCUGACCCGGACCACCGCGGGGCCUCUGGAGCAAGGAGCUGUUUAGAAAAAAGGAAUUUUAAAUGGAGACCUAGUCCAUUCCCUGCAGUACCUCUGGAUAGCAGCUAACACACCUUUGGCAAACUACAAAAUAGUAUUGUGAUUUUCAAGUCUGUCAAUGGAAUAAAAAGGAAUUGUCAGUUGUCAAUAGACCUCUUGCUAAAAUUUGUAAAUUUCAGAAAAUUUAUCCAUCCAUUAUAACUAUUAAUAUAAUGGACCCCUGAAUCCAUGUAACAUUCUUUUGGCACCUGAUUACUGAAUACAAAAGAGAAAACUAUGCAGAUGAAUCCAAUGAAAGUAUCAUAGAGUCAUAGUUUUCAACCUGUUCUUGGGUUCCUAACCUUUCUAGCAAUCUUUCUCUGUUUUGCUAGUCACCUUUAGAGAAAGUAUUGAUAGUAGCCAUUUAAAACUUUUACUCUUCCCAAAC